CCUACGGGAGGCAGCAGUGAGGAAUAUUGGUCAAUGGACGAGAGUCUGAACCAGCCAAGUAGCGUGAAGGAUGACUGCCCUAUGGGUUGUAAACUUCUUUUAUAAAGGAAUAAAACGAGGCACGUGUGCCUUUUUGAAUGUACUUUAUGAAUAAGGAUCGGCUAACGCCGUGCCAGCAGCCGCGGUAAUACGGAGGAUCCGGGCGUUAUCUGGAUUUAUUGGGUUUAAAGGGAGCGUAGAUGGGUUGUUAAGUCAGUUGUGAAAGUUUGCGGCUCAACCGUAAAAUUGCAAUUGAUACUGGCAGUCUUGAGUACAGUUGAGGUGAGCGGAAUUCGUGGUGUAGCGGUGAAAUGCUUAGAUAUCACGAGGAACCCCGAUUGCGAAGGCAGCUUACUAAACUGUGACUGACAUUGAUGCUCGAAAGUAUGGGUAUCAAACAGGAUUAGAUACCCCUGUAGUC
This 460-nucleotide ribosomal RNA is filed under the name uncultured bacterium. Its description in RNAcentral is "partial 16S ribosomal RNA". It matches the Rfam family "Bacterial small subunit ribosomal RNA", at positions 338 to 795 of the family's 1533-position model. The record is from RNAcentral.